UUCUAUCUUCCUUUGCAUCUAAUCAAUCAAACCAAGAAGAAGAACAAGUGUGGAAUAAUGGCUUCCAGGUAUUGGGUGGUUUCUCUUCCCGUUCAGCAAAAUUCUUCUACUACUUCUCUCUGGAGUCGCCUUCAAGAAUCCAUAUCCAGGCAUUCAUUCGACACUCCUCUUUACAGAUUUAACAUCCCUAAUCUCCGUGUCGGUACAUUGGAUUCGCUUUUAGCUCUCAGCGAUGAUCUCAUCAAGUCAAAUAGCUUCAUUGAAGGGGUCUGCUCCAAGACACGGCGUCAGAUCGAGGAAUUGGAGAGAGUUUCCGGCGUUCUCAGUAGCUCUCUCACUGUAGAUGGAGUUCCUGUUGACUCAUACCUCACUAGGUUUGCAUGGGAUGAGGCAAAGUAUCCCACUAUGUCACCUCUUAAGGAGAUUGUGGAUGGAAUUCACAGCCAAGUUGCCAAGAUUGAGGAUGACCUUAAGGUUCGUGUUUCUGAGUAUAACAAUGUGCGUAGUCAACUAAAUGCCAUCAACCGAAAACAAACCGGAAGCUUAGCUGUCCGUGAUCUGUCCAAUUUGGUAAAGCCAGCAGAUGUUGUUACCUCAGAACACCUAACAACUCUCCUUGCUGUUGUUUCUAAAUACUCACAGAAAGACUGGUUAUCCAGUUACGAGACCCUGACCACCUACGUGGUUCCCAGAUCUUCUAAGAUGCUCUAUGAGGACAAUGAAUAUGCUCUUUAUACUGUAACAUUAUUCAACCGUGAUGCCGACAAUUUCAAGAAUAAGGCGCGUGAAAGAGGCUUCCAGAUUCGUGAUUUCGAACAUAAUCCAGAGACUCAAGAAAGCCGGAAACAAGAGCUGGAAAAACUGAUGCAAGAUCAAGAGACAUUCAGAAGCUCUCUGUUGCAGUGGUGCUAUACCAGUUAUGGGGAGGUCUUUAGCUCCUGGAUGCACUUUUGUGCUGUGCGUAUCUUUGCUGAGAGCAUUUUGAGAUACGGGUUGCCUCCAUCAUUUUUGUCUGUUGUUUUGGCACCCUCAAUCAAAAGUGAGAAGAAAGUACGUUCCAUUCUCGAGUCACUCUGCGACAGUUCAAACAGCAAUUUCUGGAAAGCUGAUGAUGAAGGAGGAAUGGCUGGUUUUGGAGGUGACACAGAGGCUCAUCCUUACGUCUCCUUCACCAUAAAUCUUGUUUGAGUUCGAGGAAUGACUUUGUCUGUCCAUUGCAUUGGUUCGAUUCUAGUUGCUAUCAUCAAUAAGGGCAGGUUGCGCACUUGUACUAUAUAGAGGAUUGUCCAAUUAUUAUUUUUUCAAUAUUAUAUGUUUAUUGUAAAACAUAUUUAUUUUUAUUACCUUAUCCUGCCUCCUUUAUAGGGGUUGAUUGUAUUCCAACUCUUGCUGAAAAUUUUAAAGAUAUUUUGCUACGUAUUGGAAAUCUUUUUCCCAACUAAAUG
RNAcentral lists this unclassified non-coding RNA (1445 nucleotides) under Hevea brasiliensis (rubber tree). Lineage: Eukaryota; Viridiplantae; Streptophyta; Magnoliopsida; Malpighiales; Euphorbiaceae. The record is from RNAcentral.